RNAcentral lists this ribosomal RNA (789 nucleotides) under Triticum aestivum (bread wheat). RNAcentral describes it as "partial small subunit ribosomal RNA". Lineage: Eukaryota; Viridiplantae; Streptophyta; Magnoliopsida; Poales; Poaceae. The record is from RNAcentral.
AUGCUGUGGCGGUGCGUGGGACCUCCUAGUGGACGCGUGUGUAUCUCAGGCAAGGCGGCUAGGCAUUUACGAUGUGCUGGAUUAGAUCAAUUCUCCAUCGUCCAUCCAGAUACGUGCAAACAGCGGCACAACACUAUCGCCUUCUCCCCAAAAAACAACAGCAUAGCACAGUCCUCUUCUCCCCCAGAUCCAGUCGCGCCCGAGCGCCUCCUCGUGCCCUUGUCGAGGAAGCAGGCAACCUUCGAGGCGCCCCUCUCCCACAGCUCGAACCCGAGUAGCUCGAGCCAGUCAUCCCCGCCGGCGAUCUGCAACAACAGUAGCAGGACCCCGCCGAACUCAAACAACAACAAUGGCGCCGCCACCAUGGAGCCCAGAACUCCGCCAUCACACUCGCAUCAAGUCGCCCGAACCUACACACCGACGCCCUCCGCUGCGACCCAGCAUGCCCGCGUCAGCAGGAGGAUCUCCGACACUGGCCUCGACCGCCUCCCUCUAUUCGAUAACCCCGAUUCAGACCGCCCAGAAGCCUCCAAUCCAUCAGAAGCAAUCGCUGCUUUAGGCCAACUCCACUGCACGACCCCAAACGGACGUCUGUUUUGUCUGGAUUCUGUCCGUUUGGGUAGGGAUUUGGGGUCGUGUCCGGACGUGUCCUGGGAUGCGGUGGGCAUGUGCCCAGCGCGCGGACGCAUCCCGACCGUAUCCUGUCCGCGUAUUUUUCUUUGCAAGUCCUUAACUUUUUUUUAUCAUUCAUUUUUGGUACAUGACAAUACAUCAUCACAUUUUGACUAG